This 495-nucleotide ribosomal RNA is filed under the name uncultured bacterium. Its description in RNAcentral is "partial 16S ribosomal RNA". It matches the Rfam family "Bacterial small subunit ribosomal RNA", at positions 28 to 507 of the family's 1533-position model. The record is from RNAcentral.
GAUGAACGCUGGCGGCGUGCCUAAUACAUGCAAGUAGAACGCUGAAGGAGGAGCUUGCUCUUCUGGAUGAGUUGCGAACGGGUGAGUAACGCGUAGGUAACCUGCCUGGUAGCGGGGGAUAACUAUUGGAAACGAUAGCUAAUACCGCAUGACAACAGUUAUUGCAUGAUAACUGUUUAAAAGGGGCAACUGCUCCACUACCAGAUGGACCUGCGUUGUAUUAGCUAGUUGGUGAGGUAACGGCUCACCAAGGCGACGAUACAUAGCCGACCUGAGAGGGUGAUCGGCCACACUGGGACUGAGACACGGCCCAGACUCCUACGGGAGGCAGCAGUAGGGAAUCUUCGGCAAUGGACGGAAGUCUGACCGAGCUACGCCGCGUGAGUGAAGAAGGUUUUCGGAUCGUAAAGCUCUGUUGUAAGAGAAGAACGAGUGUGAGAGUGGAAAGUUCACACUGUGACGGUAUCUUACCAGAAAGGGACGGCUAACUACGUG